RNAcentral lists this ribosomal RNA (347 nucleotides) under uncultured eukaryote. RNAcentral's name for it is "SSU rRNA". It matches the Rfam family "Eukaryotic small subunit ribosomal RNA", at positions 594 to 945 of the family's 1831-position model. The record is from RNAcentral.
AUAGCGUAUAUUAAAGUUGUUGCAGUUAAAAAGCUCGUAGUUGAAUUUUGGACCUGGCUGGGUGGUCUUGCCGCAAGGUAAGCACUGCUCUGGUCGGGUCUUUCCUUCUGGGGAACCUGCGUGCGCUUAAUUGAGUGCGCAGGGGAUCCAGGACUUUUACUUUGAAAAAAUUAGAGUGUUUAAAGCAGGCAUUCGCUUGAAUACAUUAGCAUGGAAUAAUAGAAUAGGACUUUGGUUCUAUUUUGUUGGUUUCUAGGACCGAAGUAAUGAUUAAUAGGGAUAGUUGGGGGCAUUAGUAUUUAAUUGUCAGAGGUGAAAUUCUUGGAUUUAUGAAAGACUAACUUCUG